This 1226-nucleotide ribosomal RNA is filed under the name Leptolejeunea vitrea. RNAcentral's name for it is "eukaryotic LSU rRNA". The stretch from base 618 to 771 matches the Rfam family "5.8S ribosomal RNA". The record is from RNAcentral. Lineage: Eukaryota; Viridiplantae; Streptophyta; Jungermanniopsida; Porellales; Lejeuneaceae.
UUCGCCGCCGGUGUUGUUGUGAGAAGUUCAUUAAACCUUAUCAUUUAGAGGAAGGAGAAGUCGUAACAAGGUUUCCGUAGGUGAACCUGCGGAAGGAUCAUUGAACACACGAUCUUGGGAAAACUCUGCGAACCGUUUCUUUGUACCCCGAGGGGCCGUGCUGGGAGGCACGGUCGUCGAUGGCCGAGUCCGGAUGCAUGUGCGUCAGCCGUGAUCCUCCUGUUGGUGCGUGGUGGGGCUGAUAGACUCGGGCCUCCAUCGGAAAACCCCUGACACGCAUGGGUCUGCGUUCUUGAACAGGGAGCAGCUGGGGGAGAGGGGUUGCGAGAUGCGGCUCACGCCCUGGCUGGUCUGCUGUCGGAGCCAAGACCCGGAGUGUUUUCCCCUCCUCCGAGGGAUGGGGCCCAGGAUUCUCUGGGGUGAGCCCUCUGGACAGAGGCUCACCAAAUCAGUAAUCCCCUCGUCCUUCGGUGCCCUUUUUUUUCCCACAAGGAACCCUGAAACCGUGAGUUGAGGAUUGAGGAGGACGAGGGUGUUCCGUCGGGGCGGGCGUCACCCCUGGGGGUGGAGCUCGCCUGGGCGACCCCGAGUCCGCCAAAAUAUACGGAAACACAAAUGACUCUCAGCAACGGAUAUCUUGGCUCUUGCAACGAUGAAGAACGCAGCGAAAUGCGAUACCUAGUGUGAAUUGCAGAAUUCCGCGAAUCAUCGAGUUUUUGAACGCAAGUUGCGCCCGAGGCUUGUUCCAAGGGCAUGCCUGCCUGAGCGUCCGCUCCGACCCACCCACUAGCCUCCCGCCCUCCCCCGCAAGGGUGAGAGGCGGGAGGCAAUCCAAGUGGAGUGGAACUGGUCGUCCGGGGACCCGCCCGACUCCCCCCCGGGGGACGAAGUGCGAGGGAUUCGCGGUCGGCUGAAAGACGAUGGCCGUCUGCCAAGCGCGCGCUAGGGUCCGUGGUGCGGCGCGAGAAGGUGCCGUUCGGCUCUCGUCGAUCUCGGGGGAGACGGACGUUCAUAAGGAAAGCGUCGCAUCGCCCCUGUGCGGUCGAGAGUUGGCAGAUCGGUUGGAAAAGACAUGGGAACGAGAGUGGGCCCAGACUCGAUGCGUCUUCCGCCCAGGAGACGCCCUCCACCCGCGAGGGCGCUCUCCAGGGUGGAACGUGCGAGCGGGCCCACCCGCGUUACGUUGCUCGGACCUCAGAUCAGACAAGACCACCCGCUGAGUUUAA